RNA transcript from Mandrillus leucophaeus (drill), 666 nucleotides. It is a transcript of the gene named succinyl-CoA:3-ketoacid coenzyme A transferase 1, mitochondrial pseudogene, with no coding region annotated. NCBI's taxonomy places the organism in Eukaryota, Metazoa, Chordata, Mammalia, Primates, Cercopithecidae. The record is from RefSeq and is a predicted model, not a curated record. The transcript has a single exon.
GCUCCUCGAAAGGCCGGGAGGACGUCAUAGCCGCGCUGUGGAGGCUCCAGCCCGCCCCUCUUUUCUUCGCAGUGAAUCGGCUGCGCCCGGGACAGCGCGCACCGACGCUCAAACGCGCGCUCCACCCGGUAGCCUCCUCCUGCCUCAGGCCCGAAGAUGGCGGCUCUCAAACUCCUCUCCUCUGGCCUUCGGCUCUGCCCCUCUGCCCGCGGAUCUAGGGGAGCCUGGUACAAGGGAUAUGUUUGUUCCUUUUCCACCAGUGCUCAUCGCCAUACCAAGUUUUAUACAGAUCCAGUAGAAGCUGUAAAAGACAUUCCUGAUGGUGCAACGGUUUUGGUUGGUGGUUUUGGGCUAUGUGGAAUUCCAGAGAAUCUUAUAGGUGCUUUACUGAAAACUGGAGUAAAAGGACUGACUGCAGUCAGCAACAACGCAGGGGUUGACAAUUUUGGUUUGGGGCUUUUGCUUCGGUCCAAGCAGAUAAAACGCAUGAUCUCUUCAUAUGUGGGAGAAAAUGCAGAAUCUGAACGACAGUACUUAUCUGGUGAAUUAGAAGUGGAGCUGACACCACAGGGCACACUUGCGGAGAGGAUCCGUGCGGGCGGGGCUGGAGUUCCUGCAUUUUACACCCCCACAGGGUAUGGGACCUUGGUACAAGAAGGUGGGUAG